UAUUCUAGUAUCGCAUUUGAAAAAUUGUUUCAAAUUUUGUCUUUUUGCCAUUUGCCUAUCCUUACUUUUUUGCCAUGUAAUUGUGAUAAAUAUAGGACAAAUAGCUAUUAGUGUAUGUAGAAUACAUAAAAAGGAAGAUUUUUAAAUAUAUCAACACACUUAGAUUUGUAUGUAUUUUAUAGAUUGUGAGUAUAUUUUGGUUUUUCUGACAGAGACAUUACAUAAAUUUGUCAUAGAAAACCUAUUUUUCUUACUAAAGUUGUAAAUGAAAAAAAAGUUUUUGCAUAGAUUGGGCAUAAGUCUUAUGUAAUAGAAAUAUGAUAGAAAAAAUCAGACUUUAAUUUCAGCAAAUGGUACAGAAUAGGUAAUUAAAACCUGUCUUGUUUAGCUGAAUGGAGAAAAAUAAAUUUCCAGUAUACUUGUAUGAGUGUGUGUGUGUGUAUGCAUAUAUAUAUCUCUACAGAUGGAGUUUUGCAUGUGUAUGAAAAAUAUAUUUUGUUUGUUUGUCUUAGGUUUUGCUGAACUGAUUGUGAGUCUUCUGGUGCUCUUCGUUUUAGGAUAUUUUAACUUUCCACUGACAUUUGUGUACUCCCAUUUCAUUCAUCUGAUAGUUGCUUCAGUCCUUUUUUCAUUUGUGUUUUCUGUUUGGUUGUAUUUCAAAUCAUUCCAAGCUCCAACGUAUAACAUCAAUCCUGAAGCUACAACUGGGUACCAAUAUUAUGAUUUCUUUGUUGGACGAGAAGUCCAUCCUCGAAUUGGAAAGAUGUUUGACAUCAAGCUAUUUGUUCUGAAUGCUGGAAUGAUUUCUUGGGCUGUGGUGGAUGUCUGUUUGGUUUUCAAGUCUUUUAUGGACAAAGGAUGUGUUAAUUACCCACUUGCUUUGACUGCAGUUUUUCAACUAAUCUACAUUAUAAACUAUCUUUGGCAUGCUGAAUAUUUUCUCAGUUCAACAACCAUUCAAUAUGAAGGAGUUGGAUACCAGCUCAUCAUUGUUUUUUUUACCCUGACACCAUUUUUCUACUGCAUCCCAGUGUUGUAUUUGGUCAACUACAGACAGUAUGUUUCGAAUUACUGUAUUUUUGGAAUAGCUGCUCUUUAUAGUUUAGGUCUGUACAUAUACACACAAUCCAACAGAGAAAAGUACAUGUUCAGGAGAAACGCUCAUGAUCGAUCUUUAAUAAAUUUGGAAUCAAUUCCAUCUUUGAAUGGCAAGCGGCUUUUAAUAUCAGGAUGGUGGGGUUUUGUUCGUCAUCCAAAUAAGUUAGGUGAUAUUAUCAUCUUUGUCGCCUGGACUUUGCCAUGUGUUACGUGUUUGACUACGAAUUCCACGGAAAGAUGCAUAAAGAAGGUGGAGAACAGCAAGGCUUCCCGCAUGAUGUUGAUACAACGAAGAUGAAUAAUUGAUGGAGCUGAUCGAUAAAAUGUUGUUUUCCGUUACGGAUUAUUGUACGAAGGAACUCUGGUUCGAGGCUAGACAUGUGCUCUGGCGGCGAGCAAGUUCUGACGAGGUAGCUGUGGCGCCUCACCAAUGGUAUAGCUAACGAAAAGGUUAAAAGCAAACCAAUCCAGGUUUGGUGUUGAUGUAAACUAUCUGAGAAAUCAUGUUGAUCUUCACGCUAUCCCUCAUACUAACCGGGAUAAAAGGAUAACAGUAAACAUGUGAUAUUGCCUUUACACUGUAUGUCGUCAUUCAAAAAAUCAUUUGUACAGAAAGUAGAAGACUUGACAAGUGUUACUGAUCCAGUAGACAGCCCGAUAACACCAUCGUGACUUCAGCAAGUAAUU
RNAcentral lists this unclassified non-coding RNA (1785 nucleotides) under Limulus polyphemus (Atlantic horseshoe crab). RNAcentral describes it as "lamin-B receptor-like, transcript variant X5". The record is from RNAcentral. Lineage: Eukaryota; Metazoa; Arthropoda; Merostomata; Xiphosura; Limulidae.